GAUGAACGCUGGCGGCGUGCCUAAUACAUGCAAGUCGAGCGAACAGAUGAGGAGCUUGCUCCUCUGACGUUAGCGGCGGACGGGUGAGUAACACGUGGAUAACCUACCUAUAAGACUGGGAUAACUUCGGGAAACCGGAGCUAAUACCGGAUAAUAUAUUGAACCGCAUGGUUCAAUAGUGAAAGACGGUUUUGCUUUCACUUAUAGAUGGAUCCGCGCCGCAUUAGCUAGUUGGUAAGGUAACGGCUUACCAAGGCAACGAUUCGUAGCCGACCUGAGAGGGUGAUCGGCCACACUGGAACUGAGACACGGUCCAGACUCCUACGGGAGGCAGCAGUAGGGAAUCUUCCGCUAUGGGCGAAAGCCUGACGGAGCAACGCCGCGUGAGUGAUGAAGGUCUUCGGAUCGUAAAACUCUGUUAUUAGGGAAGAACAAAUGUGUAAGUAACUAUGCACGUCUUGACGGUACCUAAUCAGAAAGCCACGGCUAACUACGUG
This 497-nucleotide ribosomal RNA is filed under the name uncultured bacterium. Its description in RNAcentral is "partial 16S ribosomal RNA". It matches the Rfam family "Bacterial small subunit ribosomal RNA", at positions 28 to 507 of the family's 1533-position model. The record is from RNAcentral.